RNAcentral lists this ribosomal RNA (253 nucleotides) under uncultured bacterium. Its description in RNAcentral is "partial 16S ribosomal RNA". It matches the Rfam family "Bacterial small subunit ribosomal RNA", at positions 524 to 776 of the family's 1533-position model. The record is from RNAcentral.
UACGGAGGGAGCUAGCGUUGUUCGGAAUUACUGGGCGUAAAGCGCACGUAGGCGGCUAUUCAAGUCGGGGGUGAAAGCCCGGGGCUCAACCCCGGAACUGCCCUCGAAACUAGGUAGCUAGAAUCUUGGAGAGGUCAGUGGAAUUCCGAGUGUAGAGGUGAAAUUCGUAGAUAUUCGGAAGAACACCAGUGGCGAAGGCGGCUCACUGGCCCGGUACUAACGCUGAGGUGCGAAAGCGUGGGGAGCAAACAGG